This 106-nucleotide small nucleolar RNA is filed under the name Theobroma cacao (cacao). RNAcentral's name for it is "Plant small nucleolar RNA R71". It matches the Rfam family "Plant small nucleolar RNA R71". From Rfam's summary of the family: R71 is a member of the C/D box family of snoRNAs containing the C (UGAUGA) and D (CUGA) box motifs. Multiple nearly identical copies of this snoRNA have been identified in Arabidopsis, and it is thought to function as a 2'-O-ribose methylation guide for 18S ribosomal RNA. Lineage: Eukaryota; Viridiplantae; Streptophyta; Magnoliopsida; Malvales; Malvaceae. The record is from Rfam by way of RNAcentral.
AAUCCAUGGUGAGGACACCUCCUAAGCAAAUCUUUAUACCUUUCCCAAGCCUCAUACAGUGAUUCAAAAUCAAAUUGCAUAAAAGAAGUGAUAUCAUUCUGUAUCU